UAGGCCCCUGCUUGGCCACUGCCCAGGAUCUGCAAGCUGCAUGCCCAUGAGUUUUGGCACCCAUUUGGACUUUCACAAUCAGAGAUGGCAGCAAUGAAAGCAUCAACAUUGAAAGCUCCCAGGCAUUGGUAUUCUCAUCUGGUAUAUGCAAGAUACUGGCAACAUUGUCAUCAAACAAUGGCUUGGAUGCAAAGCCACCAGAAUGCCUACAGGAAGGCUGUGGUGUUUCAGUCUUCCAUGGUACUUCCCGCCUGCACUUCUUCCCCAAAGCUCUUACAGUAACCAGGCUGUGUACCCUCAGUCUUUCUAUGACCAUCAUGUGGCCUGGCAGGACUCCCCCUGCAGUUCUUCACAUUUCAGAGGGUCUGGGCACCAUCCACAUGACAGUAGUAGGAUCCAGGCAUCCACAAGAGAAGACCAAGCUUUGUCCAAAGAGGAAGAGAUGGAGACCGAGUCAGAUACAGAGGUAGAAUGCGACCUGAGCAAUAUGGAAGUCACCGAAGAGCUCCACCAGUACUUUGCAGAGACCAGAAGGCACAGAGAAUGACAGAGGCAGCAGCAGCUGGAUGCAGAGCGCCUGGACGGCUAUGUGAAUGCUGACCAUGACCUGAACUGCGAUAUCUGCCGGUCAGUAGAGGCCCCAAAUGAGGGGCCUGGUGAGUGGUGCCAGGCCGAGAUAAAGCGUUUGUACAGGGACAGCGCCGCCAAGAUCCAGGCCAUGGAGGCUACAGUGCAGCUGACCUUUGAAAGCAGCCCAAGUACUGGGCGGUCAUCCCCCUGAAGUUUUGAGCUUGGGGCAAAGGGCUCCAAGCCUCUCCCUCUUCCUUCUGGGUACACGCUCUUCAUCUCUCCUUAUGUCCAUUUCUCAGAGAGAGGGAACUUUGUGCUGAGGUACAGGCAUGUUCACCACAGUCCCAGCGGGCCUGUCACGGGGUGGAUGAACUAUGCCAGCCACUUGGAGGUCAGCAGGACAUGUUCUGUUGCCAACAUGAUAAAUUUUCUCCUGACAUAAAAGAAUUUUGUACAUGUUAUACU
RNA transcript from Cebus imitator (Panamanian white-faced capuchin), 1035 nucleotides. It is a transcript of the gene named gem-associated protein 8-like, with no coding region annotated. The record is from RefSeq and is a predicted model, not a curated record. NCBI's taxonomy places the organism in Eukaryota, Metazoa, Chordata, Mammalia, Primates, Cebidae. The transcript has a single exon.